Molecule: ribosomal RNA, 408 nt
Filed under: uncultured microorganism
Description: bacterial SSU rRNA
Rfam family: Bacterial small subunit ribosomal RNA
Source: RNAcentral
CAGCAGCCGCGGUAAUACGUAGGGUGCAAGCGUUAAUCGGAAUUACUGGGCGUAAAGCGUGCGCAGGCGGUUCGGAAAGAAAGAUGUGAAAUCCCAGAGCUUAACUUUGGAACUGCAUUUUUAACUACCGGGCUAGAGUGUGUCAGAGGGAGGUGGAAUUCCGCGUGUAGCAGUGAAAUGCGUACAUAUGCGGAGGAACACCGAUGGCGAAGGCAGCCUCCUGGGAUAACACUGACGCUCAUGCACGAAAGCGUGGGGAGCAAACAGGAUUAGAUGCCCUGGUAGUCCACGCCCUAAACGAUGUCAACUAGCUGUUGGGGCCUUCGGGCCUUGGUAGCGCAGCUAACGCGUGAAGUUGACCGCCUGGGGAGUACGGUCGCAAGAUUAAAACUUAAAGGAAUUGGCGGG